GCGCGGUUAGCUCAGUUGGAUAGAGCGUUGGUCUCCGGAACCAAAGGUCACAGGUUCGAAUCCUGUAUCGCGCACCA
RNAcentral lists this transfer RNA (77 nucleotides) under Alphaproteobacteria bacterium. RNAcentral's name for it is "tRNA-Arg". It matches the Rfam family "tRNA". From Rfam's summary of the family: Transfer RNA (tRNA) molecules are approximately 80 nucleotides in length. Their secondary structure includes four short double-helical elements and three loops (D, anti-codon, and T loops). The record is from RNAcentral. Lineage: Bacteria; Pseudomonadati; Pseudomonadota; Alphaproteobacteria.